AGAGUUUGAUCCUGGCUCAGAAUGAACGCUGGCGGCGUGCCUAACACAUGCAAGUCGGAUGUGCCGCAAGGUGCAUGGCAGACGGGUGAGUAACGCGUAGGGAAUCUACCUUUUUGUGGGGAAUAACGCUCCGAAAGGAGUGGUAAUACCGCAUGAGACCGCAGACUGGGAUGUUUGUGGUGAAACCUGGGGACCGCAAGGCCUGGGGCAAGAAGAGGAUCCUGCGUCUGAUUAGCUGGUUGGCGGGGUAAUGGCCCACCAAGGCGACGAUCAGUAGCCGGCCUGAGAGGGUGAUCGGCCACACUGGAACUGAGACACGGUCCAGACUCCUACGGGAGGCAGCAGUGGGGAAUUUUGCGCAAUGGACGAGAGUCUGACGCAGCAACGCCGCGUGGGUGAUGAAGGUCUUCGG
RNAcentral lists this ribosomal RNA (412 nucleotides) under uncultured bacterium. RNAcentral's name for it is "bacterial SSU rRNA". It matches the Rfam family "Bacterial small subunit ribosomal RNA", at positions 8 to 421 of the family's 1533-position model. The record is from RNAcentral.